RNAcentral lists this ribosomal RNA (1494 nucleotides) under uncultured organism. Its description in RNAcentral is "SSU rRNA". It matches the Rfam family "Bacterial small subunit ribosomal RNA". The record is from RNAcentral.
AUGAACGCUGGCGGCGUGCCUAAUACAUGCAAGUCGAACGAGUUCUGAUUAUUGAAAGGUGCUUGCAUCUUGAUUUUAAUUUUGAACGAGUGGCGGACGGGUGAGUAACACGUGGGUAACCUGCCCUUAAGUGGGGGAUAACAUUUGGAAACAGAUGCUAAUACCGCAUAAAUCCAAGAACCGCAUGGUUCUUGGCUGAAAGAUGGCGUAAGCUAUCGCUUUUGGAUGGACCCGCGGCGUAUUAGCUAGUUGGUGAGGUAACGGCUCACCAAGGCAAUGAUACGUAGCCGAACUGAGAGGUUGAUCGGCCACAUUGGGACUGAGACACGGCCCAAACUCCUACGGGAGGCAGCAGUAGGGAAUCUUCCACAAUGGACGCAAGUCUGAUGGAGCAACGCCGCGUGAGUGAAGAAGGCUUUCGGGUCGUAAAACUCUGUUGUUGGAGAAGAAUGGUCGGCAGAGUAACUGUUGUCGGCGUGACGGUAUCCAACCAGAAAGCCACGGCUAACUACGUGCCAGCAGCCGCGGUAAUACGUAGGUGGCAAGCGUUAUCCGGAUUUAUUGGGCGUAAAGCGAGCGCAGGCGGUUUUUUAAGUCUGAUGUGAAAGCCCUCGGCUUAACCGAGGAAGUGCAUCGGAAACUGGGAAACUUGAGUGCAGAAGAGGACAGUGGAACUCCAUGUGUAGCGGUGAAAUGCGUAGAUAUAUGGAAGAACACCAGUGGCGAAGGCGGCUGUCUGGUCUGUAACUGACGGUGAGGCUCGAAAGCAUGGGUAGCGAACAGGAUUAGAUACCCUGGUAGUCCAUGCCGUAAACGAUGAAUGCUAGGUGUUGGGAGGGUUUCCGCCCUUCAGUGCCGCAGCUAACGCAUUAAGCAUUCCGCCUGGGGAGUACGACCGCAAGGUUGAAACUCAAAGGAAUUGACGGGGGCCCGCACAAGCGGUGGAGCAUGUGGUUUAAUUCGAAGCAACGCGAAGAACCUUACCAGGUCUUGACAUCUUUUGAUCACCUGAGAGAUCAGGUUUCCCCUUCGGGGGCAAAAUGACAGGUGGUGCAUGGUUGUCGUCAGCUCGUGUCGUGAGAUGUUGGGUUAAGUCCCGCAACGAGCGCAACCCUUAUGACUAGUUGCCAGCAUUUAGUUGGGCACUCUAGUAAGACUGCCGGUGACAAACCGGAGGAAGGUGGGGAUGACGUCAAAUCAUCAUGCCCCUUAUGACCUGGGCUACACACGUGCUACAAUGGAUGGUACAACGAGUUGCGAGACCGCGAGGUCAAGCUAAUCUCUUAAAGCCAUUCUCAGUUCGGACUGUAGGCUGCAACUCGCCUACACGAAGUCGGAAUCGCUAGUAAUCGCGGAUCAGCACGCCGCGGUGAAUACGUUCCCGGGCCUUGUACACACCGCCCGUCACACCAUGAGAGUUUGUAACACCCGAAGCCGGUGGCGUAACCCUUUUAGGGAGCGAGCCGUCUAAGGUGGGACAAAUGAUUAGGGUGA